This 914-nucleotide ribosomal RNA is filed under the name archaeon enrichment culture clone C4-38C-A. Its description in RNAcentral is "bacterial SSU rRNA". It matches the Rfam family "Archaeal small subunit ribosomal RNA", at positions 1 to 922 of the family's 1478-position model. The record is from RNAcentral.
UCCGGUUGAUCCCGCCGGAGGCUACUGCUAUUGGAAUUCGACUAAGCCAUGCGAGUCAAGGUGUCUUCGGACGCCGGCAAACGGCUCAGUAACACGUAGGUAAUCUACCCUCAGGACUGAGAUAACCCCGGGAAACUGGGGCUAAUACCAGAUAGAUAAAAGAUACUGGAAUGUUCUUUUAUCCAAAGCUUUUGUGCCUGAGGAUGAGCCUGCGCCCGAUUAGGUAGUUGGUGGGGUAAUGGCCCACCAAGCCUGCGAUCGGUACGGGCAGUGGGAGCUGUAGCCCGGAGUUGGGGACUGAGACAAGGCCCCAGGCCCUACGGGGCGCAGCAGGCGCGAAACCUCUGCAAUGCGGGAAACCGUGACAGGGGGAUUCCAAGUGCUCAUGCAUUGCAUGGGCUGUUCUUUGGUCUAAGUAACCAGAGGAGUAAGGGCUGGGCAAGACCGGUGCCAGCCGCCGCGGUAAUACCGGCAGCUCGAGUGGUAGCCGCGAUUAUUGGGCCUAAAACGUUCGUAGCCGGAUAAGUAAGUCUUUGGUUAAAUCCUACGACUUAACCGUGGGAAAUCUAGAGAUACUGCUUGUCUUGAGACCGGGAGAGGUUGGAGGUACUCCCAGGGUAGGGGUGAAAUCCUGUAAUCCUGGGGGGACCACCUGUGGCGAAGGCGUCCAACUGGAACGGCUCUGACGGUGAGGGACGAAACCUAGGGGAGCGAGCCGGAUUAGAUACCCGGGUAGUCCUAGGCGUAAAUGAUGCGAGUUAAGUGUGGGGGCAUCUACGAGAUGGCCCUGUGCUGUAGGGUAGCCGUUAAACUCGCUGCCUGGGGAGUACGGUCGCAAGGCUGAAACUUAAAGGAAUUGGCGGGGGAGCACCACAAGAGGUGGAGGCUGCGGUUCAAUUGGAUUCAACGCCGGG